GAUGAACGCUGGCGGCGUGCCUAACACAUGCAAGUCGAACGGGAACUGAUUUCGGUCAGGGAGAGUGGCGCACGGGUGAGUAACACGUAGCUGACCUGCCCCGGAGCGCGGGAUAACGGGCGGAAACACUCGCUAAUACCGCAUAAGCUCACACUGAUUGGAAGGGUGUGAGAAAAGCUCAGGCGCUUCGGGAGGGGGCUGCGGCCCAUCAGGUAGUUGGUAGGGUAACGGCCUACCAAGCCAACGACGGGUAGGGGGCCUGAGAGGGUGACCCCCCCACACUGGGACUGAGACACGGCCCAGACUCCUACGGGAGGCAGCAGUGAGGAAUAUUGGUCAAUGGGCGCAAGCCUGAACCAGCGACGCCGCGUGGGUGAUGAAGGCCUUCGGGUCGUAAAACCCUUUUCUGUGUGACGAGCAAGGACGGUAGCACAGGAAUAAGUCUCGGCUAACUACGUGCCAGCAGCCGCGGUAAU
Molecule: ribosomal RNA, 476 nt
Filed under: uncultured bacterium
Lineage: Bacteria
Description: bacterial SSU rRNA
Rfam family: Bacterial small subunit ribosomal RNA
Source: RNAcentral